UCGUAACAAGGUUUCCGAUAGGAACAAGUGAUCUUUCCGUGCGACACUUGCUGAAGCCUUAGCUACCUGAAAAGGUGUGAAUCUUGCGACUCUAAAAAAACAAGGCCACGGAAAAGCUAGUCCCCGUAUGGGGGCGACACUAUCAAAUUGCAGGAAUUCCCUAAAGAUCUCAGUACCAAGCAUUGUCUGGAAACAGGGAUGUGGCCUGGUUAACUACCAAGGGUACGGUUACAAUCUGAGAUAUGAGGCAUUUUAUGUUGAAAUGGGUGAUCUGCAGCCAAGUCCUUCACCCUCGUGGGGUAUGGAUGCUGUUCACAGGCCAAAUGGUAGUGGGUGGCGUUUCGACGCUGCUUAAGAUAUGGUCGGGCCACCGUAGAAAUAUGGUGGGUCGUUGGUACCUUCACUGGAUACCUCCAAAAUAACCGUUCCGUAGGUGAACCUGCGGAAGGAUCAUUACCGAGGAAUCCGCUUGAUUUCAAGCGACCUCUCACACAAUGCGUAUAUCAAACGUGUUUUAUAUUUAAACAAUUUAAAACUUUCAACAACGGAUCUCUUGGUUCUGGCAUCGAUGAAGAACGCAGCGAAAUGCGAUAAGUAAUGUGAAUUGCAGAAUUCAGUGAAUCAUCGAAUCUUUGAACGCACAUUGCGCCCUCUGGUAUUCCGGAGGGCACACCUGUUCGAGCGCCGUAGUACAACUAAGGCUCUGCCUUGCGUUGAUCCUGUCCAAGCCUUUUGGCUACGGACGUGAUCGAAACCCUGUGGCGCCGCCUGGCGGCCGGCUAUGCGCAAUAGCAAAAGCCAGUCGUGAAGGUGGCCGCCUGUUUUUACAGCACGCUUGGCCUCGGAUCAGGUGGGGAUACCCGCUGAACUUAAGCAUAUCAAUAAGCGGAGGAAAAGAAACCAACAGGGAUUGCCUCAGUAACGGCGAGUGAAGCGGCAACAGCUCAGAUUUGAAAUCCGGCUUCUUAGCCCGAGUUGUAAUCUGCAGAGGUGCGUUCGGCAGAGGCGCCGGUCCAAGUUUCCUGGAACGGAACGUCGCAGAGGGUGAGAACCCCGUACGCGGUCGGCAGCCGAAGCCAUGUGAACGCCCUUCGACGAGUCGAGUUGUUUGGGAAUGCAGCUCAAAGCGGGUGGUAAAUUCCAUCUAAAGCUAAAUAUUGGCCAGAGACCGAUAGUGCACAAGUAGAGUGAUCGAAAGAUGAAAAGCACUUUGGAAAGAGAGUCAAACAGUACGUGAAAUUGUUGAAAGGGAAGCGCUUGCGACCAGACUCGCGCGUGGUUGCUCAGCCGGUUUUGCGACCGGUGCACUCUUCCACGCUCGGGCCAGCAUCGGUUUGGGCGGCUGGACAAAGGCUUGGGGAACGUGGCUCCCUUCGGGGAGUGUUAUAGACCCUUGCACAAUACAGCCAGCCUGGACCGAGGACCGCGCAUCUGCCAGGAUGCUGGCGUAAUGGUUGCUAGCGGCC
Molecule: ribosomal RNA, 1466 nt
Filed under: uncultured fungus
Lineage: Eukaryota; Fungi
Description: eukaryotic LSU rRNA
Rfam family: Eukaryotic large subunit ribosomal RNA (bases 837-1466)
Source: RNAcentral